CCUACGGGUGACUGCAGUGAGGAAUCUUGGUCAAUGGACGAGAGUCUGAACCAGCCAAGUAGCGUGAAGGAUGACUGUCCUAUGGGUUGUAAACUUUUUUUAUAUGGGAGUAAAAUGUUCCACGUGUGGGAUUUUGUAUGUACCAUAUGAAUAAGGAUCGGCUAACUCCGUGCCAGCAGCCGCGGUACUACGGAGGAUCCGAGCGUUAUCCGGAUUUAUUGGGUUUAAAGGGAACGUAGGUGGAUUGUUAAGUCAGUUGUGAAAGUUUGCGGCUCAACCGUAAAAUUGCAGUUGAAACUGGCAGACUUGAGUACAGAAGAGGUGAGCGGAACUCGUGGUGUAGCGGUGAAAUGCUUAGAUAUCACGAAGAACUCCGAUGGCGAAGGCAGUUCACUGGACUGCAACUGACACUGAGGCUCGAAAGUGUGGGUAUCAAACAGGAUUAGAUACCCGGGUAGUC
RNAcentral lists this ribosomal RNA (460 nucleotides) under uncultured bacterium. RNAcentral's name for it is "partial 16S ribosomal RNA". It matches the Rfam family "Bacterial small subunit ribosomal RNA", at positions 338 to 795 of the family's 1533-position model. The record is from RNAcentral.